GGCAGUGUGGCAUAAUGGUUUGAGUGUUAGACUGCAACUCUGAAGACCAGGGUUCAACUCCCAGCUAAGCCA
Phrynosoma platyrhinos (Desert horned lizard) is the source of this 72-nucleotide non-coding RNA. NCBI's taxonomy places the organism in Eukaryota, Metazoa, Chordata, Lepidosauria, Squamata, Phrynosomatidae. The record is from the annotation of a GenBank genome assembly.